Molecule: unclassified non-coding RNA, 563 nt
Filed under: Drosophila virilis
Lineage: Eukaryota; Metazoa; Arthropoda; Insecta; Diptera; Drosophilidae
Description: GJ27028
Source: RNAcentral
AGUGUUUAGUUUAAAAAAAGAGCUGUUGUUUAAAAAAAAAUAUGCCUAAAUUGUCGACGUGUUUGGUAAAUGCCUGCGAGCAAGGAAAUAUUCAAAUUCUCCAGGCCUUGCCCAGAAAAAAUCGCGUUAAUUACUUCCCUUCGCGCUCUAUAAUUAAGGGUUCAAUUAUCAUAAUUCUAUUCAAUAUGUGUUUACUUUAUUUGGGCUAUCUCGCUUAUAAGUAUCUGAACACUUUACAAGAUGAGCAGAAGCUUCAAAUAUCCAACUAUUUAUGUAGCUUGGGUGCUUUUGUGGUUAUCAUCUCACUCCUCCGAAAUAGUGACAUGUCAAAGAAUAAUCCAUACUUCUACUACAUUUAAGCCGUAUAUGAGAAAGGAAAAUUUGAAGCGACAUUGUUUAAUAGCAUCUGUCCAAGAAGAAUCCUUAUAGUAAAUCAUAAUAGUCAUAGUUAUAAUGAUUAACCGUGUCAUGUGUUAAAUAAACGGUUGCGUUCUUGACAAAAAAUAAAGAAAUCAAUUGAAGUAUAUAAUUGUGUACACCAUUGGACGCUCUGGUUUCAGACU